CAGCAGCCGCGGUAAUACGAAGGGUGCAAGCGUUAAUCGGAAUUACUGGGCGUAAAGCGUGCGUAGGCGGUGAGUUAAGUCUGCUGUGAAAUCCCCGGGCUCAACCUGGGAAUGGCAGUGGAUACUGGCUCGCUAGAGUGUGUCAGAGGAUGGUGGAAUUCCCGGUGUAGCGGUGAAAUGCGUAGAGAUCGGGAGGAACAUCAGUGGCGAAGGCGGCCAUCUGGGACAACACUGACGCUGAGGCACGAAAGCGUGGGGAGCAAACAGGAUUAGAGACCCCGGUAGUCCCUGUCUCUUAUAC
RNAcentral lists this ribosomal RNA (301 nucleotides) under uncultured bacterium. Its description in RNAcentral is "partial 16S ribosomal RNA". It matches the Rfam family "Bacterial small subunit ribosomal RNA", at positions 509 to 807 of the family's 1533-position model. The record is from RNAcentral.